AGUGAACGCUGGCGGCAGGCCUAACACAUGCAAGUCGAACGGCAGCACAGUAAGAGCUUGCUCUUACGGGUGGCGAGUGGCGGACGGGUGAGGAAUACAUCGGAAUCUACUUUUUCGUGGGGGAUAACGUAGGGAAACUUAUGCUAACACCGCAUAUGACCUACGGGUGAAAGCAGGGGAUCUUCGGACUCUGCGCGAUUGAAUGAGCCGAUGUCGGAUUAGCUAGUUGGCGGGGUAAAGGCCCACCAAGGCAACGAUCCGCAGCUGGUCUGAGAGGAUGAUCGGCCACACUGGAACUGAGACACGGUCCAGACUCCUACGGGAGGCAGCAGUAGGGAAUAUUGGACAAUGGGCGCAAGCCUGAUCCAGCAAUGCCGCGUGGGUGAAGAAGGCCUUCGGGUUGUAAAACCCUGUUGUUGGGAAAGAAAAGCAGCAGGUUAAUACGCCGCUGUUCUGACGGUACCCAAAGAAUAAGCACCGGCUAACUUCGUG
RNAcentral lists this ribosomal RNA (492 nucleotides) under uncultured bacterium. RNAcentral describes it as "partial 16S ribosomal RNA". It matches the Rfam family "Bacterial small subunit ribosomal RNA", at positions 29 to 507 of the family's 1533-position model. The record is from RNAcentral.